This is a non-coding RNA of Ixodes scapularis (black-legged tick), 82 nucleotides long. Lineage: Eukaryota; Metazoa; Arthropoda; Arachnida; Ixodida; Ixodidae. The record is from Rfam.
GCAGUCGCGGCCGAGUGGUUAAGGCGAUUGACUAGAAAUCCAUUAGGGUCUCUUCGCACAGGUUCGAAUCCUGUCGACUGCG